CACUGAUGCAUUGGCUCAGUAAAUUAUUUUCUAUCAUCUCAGUUAAUUGAAUUUUGUCCACUACUCUUAGAAUUCCUCCCUUUUGGAUGAGGUUACUAAGUUCAAUCAGCGCCAUUGUGAACCUUGUCUCAUUGCUGUUGCAUAAAACAACUUUAUCUGCUUAAAAUGCAUUGGUGGAAAUGGACUAAGAAGAAUAAUGAAAUAAAGGUCUCCUUACACCCGAUCAAUAGGCACUAGAAAAAGUACUCUGUGGAGGUUAUAUCGCAGGAAGAGGGCUUGUACGACAAAACUCAGUUUCCCAUAGAAAGUGUACACACAAAAUAAUAAAACUGCAAGGUUAUAGUCUAAAUUUAUAA
Pelobates cultripes (western spadefoot toad) is the source of this 356-nucleotide non-coding RNA. The record is from the annotation of a GenBank genome assembly. Lineage: Eukaryota; Metazoa; Chordata; Amphibia; Anura; Pelobatidae.